Molecule: ribosomal RNA, 464 nt
Filed under: uncultured bacterium
Lineage: Bacteria
Description: partial 16S ribosomal RNA
Rfam family: Bacterial small subunit ribosomal RNA
Source: RNAcentral
ACGGACGCUGGCGGCGUGCUUAACACAUGCAAGUCGAACGGAAAGGCCCCAACUUGCUGGGGUACUCGAGUGGCGAACGGGUGAGUAACACGUGGGUGAUCUGCCCUGCACUCUGGGAUAAGCCUGGGAAACUGGGUCUAAUACCGGAUAGGACCGUGCUUUAGUGUGUGCGGUGGAAAGUUUUUCGGUGCAGGAUGAGCCCGCGGCCUAUCAGCUUGUUGGUGGGGUAAUGGCCUACCAAGGCGGCGACGGGUAGCCGGCCUGAGAGGGUGUACGGCCACAUUGGGACUGAGACACGGCCCAGACUCCUACGGGAGGCAGCAGUGGGGAAUAUUGCACAAUGGGCGCAAGCCUGAUGCAGCGACGCCGCGUGGGGGAUGACGGCCUUCGGGUUGUAAACCCCUUUCGGCAGGGACGAAGCUUUUGUGACGGUACCUGCAUAAGAAGCACCGGCUAACUACGUG